AUACAUGCAAGUCGAGCGGACAGAAGGGAGCUUGCUCCCGGAUGUUAGCGGCGGACGGGUGAGUAACACGUGGGUAACCUGCCUGUAAGACUGGGAUAACUCCGGGAAACCGGAGCUAAUACCGGAUAGUUCCUUGAACCGCAUGGUUCAAGGAUGAAAGACGGUUUCGGCUGUCACUUACAGAUGGACCCGCGGCGCAUUAGCUAGUUGGUGAGGUAACGGCUCACCAAGGCGACGAUGCGUAGCCGACCUGAGAGGGUGAUCGGCCACACUGGGACUGAGACACGGCCCAGACUCCUACGGGAGGCAGCAGUAGGGAAUCUUCCGCAAUGGACGAAAGUCUGACGGAGCAACGCCGCGUGAGUGAUGAAGGUUUUCGGAUCGUAAAGCUCUGUUGUUAGGGAAGAACAAGUGCAAGAGUAACUGCUUGCACCUUGACGGUACCUAACCAGAAAGCCACGGCUAACUACGUGCCAGCAGCCGCGGUAAUACGUAGGUGGCAAGCGUUGUCCGGAAUUAUUGGGCGUAAAGGGCUCGCAGGCGGUUUCUUAAGUCUGAUGUGAAAGCCCCCGGCUCAACCGGGGAGGGUCAUUGGAAACUGGGAAACUUGAGUGCAGAAGAGGAGAGUGGAAUUCCACGUGUAGCGGUGAAAUGCGUAGAGAUGUGGAGGAACACCAGUGGCGAAGGCGACUCUCUGGUCUGUAACUGACGCUGAGGAGCGAAAGCGUGGGGAGCGAACAGGAUUAGAUACCCUGGUAGUCCACGCCGUAAACGAUGAGUGCUAAGUGUUAGGGGGUUUCCG
RNAcentral lists this ribosomal RNA (802 nucleotides) under bacterium 4_xplvp418. RNAcentral's name for it is "bacterial SSU rRNA". It matches the Rfam family "Bacterial small subunit ribosomal RNA", at positions 51 to 836 of the family's 1533-position model. The record is from RNAcentral. RNAcentral also lists the same sequence under 1 other name.